CCUACGGGGUGCAGCAGUGAGGAAUAUUUGUCAAUGGACGAGAGUCUGAACCAGCCAAGUAGCGUGAAGGAUGACUGCCCUAUGGGUUGUAAACUUCUUUUAUAUGGGAAUAAAAUGUUCCACGUGUGGGAUUUUGUAUGUACCAUAUGAAUAAGGAUCGGCUAACUCCGUGCCAGCAGCCGCGGUAAUACGGAGGAUCCGAGCGUUAUCCGGAUUUAUUGGGUUUAAAGGGAGCGUAGGUGGAUUGUUAAGUCAGUUGUGAAAGUUUGCGGCUCAACCGUAAAAUUGCAGUUGAAACUGGCAGUCUUGAGUACAGUAGAGGUGGGCGGAAUUCGUGGUGUAGCGGUGAAAUGCUUAGAUAUCACGAAGAACUCCGAUUGCGAAGGCAGUUCACUGGACUGCAACUGACACUGAGGCUCGAAAGUGUGGGUAUCAAACAGGAUUAGAUACCCUUGUAGUC
Molecule: ribosomal RNA, 460 nt
Filed under: uncultured bacterium
Lineage: Bacteria
Description: partial 16S ribosomal RNA
Rfam family: Bacterial small subunit ribosomal RNA
Source: RNAcentral